Molecule: ribosomal RNA, 253 nt
Filed under: uncultured bacterium
Lineage: Bacteria
Description: partial 16S ribosomal RNA
Rfam family: Bacterial small subunit ribosomal RNA
Source: RNAcentral
UACGGGGGGGGCAAGCGUUGUUCGGAAUUACUGGGCGUAAAGGGCGCGUAGGUGGCCAACUAAGUCAGACGUGAAAUCCCUCGGCUUAACCGGGGAACUGCGUCUGAUACUGGAUGGCUUGAGUUUGGGAGAGGGACGCGGAAUUCCAGGUGUAGCGGUGAAAUGCGUAGAUAUCUGGAGGAACACCGGUGGCGAAGGCGGCGUCCUGGACCAAUACUGACGCUGAGAAGCGAAAGCAUGGGGAGCGAACAGG